RNAcentral lists this ribosomal RNA (433 nucleotides) under uncultured bacterium. RNAcentral describes it as "bacterial SSU rRNA". It matches the Rfam family "Bacterial small subunit ribosomal RNA", at positions 46 to 524 of the family's 1533-position model. The record is from RNAcentral.
GCCUAACACAUGCAAGUCGAACGAAGGCUUCGGCCUAUAGAGGCGCACGGGUGCGUAACGCGUGGGAAUCUGCCCUUGGGUUCGGAAUAACAGCGAGAAAUUGCUGCUAAUACCGGAUGAUGACGUAAGUCCAAAGAUUUAUCGCCCAAGGAUGAGCCCGCGUAGGAUUAGCUAGUUGGUGUGGUAAAGGCGCACCAAGGCGACGAUCCUUAGCUGGUCUGAGAGGAUGAUCAGCCACACUGGGACUGAGACACGGCCCAGACUCCUACGGGAGGCAGCAGUGGGGAAUAUUGGACAAUGGGCGCAAGCCUGAUCCAGCCAUGCCGCGUGAGUGAUGAAGGCCUUAGGGUUGUAAAGCUCUUUUACCCGGGAUGAUAAUGACAGUACCGGGAGAAUAAGCUCCGGCUAACUCCGUGCCAGCAGCCGCGGUAAU